AAAUAAAGCAAAAAAAGUAAAAAAAAGUGUGUGUGAAUAUGUGAAAAGUGCUAAAAAAAUAAAUAAAAAAUAAGGCCAAAAAUAAAUAAAAUAUGGAGAAAUUAAAUUUUCCUAAGUGUGUUAUGUAAAAAAAGUAUCAAAAAAGCGUUUGUGGUGUCUCAAUGAAAAAACGUAAAAAUUCAAAAACAGACUAGAACUAAAACUAGAAACAAUAUUAAUAAAUGAACGUAAAAUAAAAAAAUGUUGUUUAAUGAAAAACACCCAUCGCCUACGGUUAGCGGAUAUUUAAAUCCACUACGAACGACUUCAACACUUCAAACUCCUGAAUUUUACGACUAAUGACAAACUGUGAAAAAGCAACGCUAGCAGAAAAAUUCACAUGUUUGCUCAUAGUGAAAAAGUGAACUGUUUGCCGGCAUAAAUGUAGGAGCGUCGAGGCAAACCACUUGAACAACAAUUGAAAUACGAUGAGUGCUUGCUUACAUUUACAUUUACGUCAUACAUACAUACAUAUUGGAAUAUACAGCGGAAGGUGCGACCUCGGAGUGGUAAAUUAAAAACCCGGUGAAGGAGAAGAAAUUAUAAUAAAGCAAAUAGAAACAUUGAGAUGUAAAUGUAAAAAAUUUUUAGAAUAAAAUAAAAAAUAUAUUUGCAGAAGAAAAUUUGAAGAUGUGUUUUUAUGCAGAUGAAGGAUG
Molecule: long non-coding RNA, 695 nt
Organism: Bactrocera dorsalis (oriental fruit fly)
Lineage: Eukaryota; Metazoa; Arthropoda; Insecta; Diptera; Tephritidae
Exons: 4
Source: RefSeq, a predicted model, not a curated record